ACAGACCAUCCCCAACAGAACACAGACCAACCCCAACAGAACACAGACCAUCCCCAACAGAACACAGUUUAUCAGUGAAGAGUAGCCUACACUGUACAGAACAAGGAAUCAAAGGGAGGAUCUCAAUUGCAUUUGUGACGCACGUGAAAUGUAUGGUCACGUUUGUUUUUUUAUUUGUGUUUUUAUUUUGUUUAAGAGGAAUAUUUAACGUUCUGAUUCAUUCUAGGUAUUACUUGAGGCCUCCCAAUGGUUUCCAAUUGAAAUGUACUUAUACCUAUUGUUGCCAGUAGAAGGAGAUAACGGUUCGUUUUGUCUUCACAUGUGGAACGGUUUUGAACGAACUGCUGGAACUUCCUCAUUCUUCUGAGAGAAGCCUAACUGGAAAGAAGCGAACGUUAUCCUGUCGCAACUUUGCUCCUGUUUUACAGGUCAUUUCACAGGUCCAAUGGCAGCCAUGGUGAAGUCUGAGCCGCUUGAGAGCAAUGUUUAUCCACAAACGGAACACUGUCACUCAUUCUCCUUCAGUUGCCCAACUCAUAACAUACUCAAAGAGGAAAUCACCUGCACCAAACCUGGAACAAUACUGAGAGCACUUGAAACUAUUGACACAUUCAAGGACCAAAUGGACAAGAAGACAAUGAAAGGGAAAGACAUUGUCAUCAAGAGUUGUAAGGGGUACAUAGUGAAGCACUUUCCAUGUUGGCUGAUCAAAGAGGAUGACCUUCUCACUAUUGAGACUAUCACACAUGCCACAGGUGAAACUGCAGGGGUCACGGAUGAAGAAACAGACAAUUAUGUAACUUUCUCUGUUGAGACAACAGGAGGGAAAAACAGCAAAUCAAAACCAAUA
This is a long non-coding RNA of Coregonus clupeaformis (lake whitefish), 850 nucleotides long. RefSeq lists it as uncharacterized. NCBI's taxonomy places the organism in Eukaryota, Metazoa, Chordata, Actinopteri, Salmoniformes, Salmonidae. The record is from RefSeq and is a predicted model, not a curated record. The transcript has 3 exons.